Molecule: transfer RNA, 73 nt
Filed under: Ailuropoda melanoleuca (giant panda)
Lineage: Eukaryota; Metazoa; Chordata; Mammalia; Carnivora; Ursidae
Rfam family: tRNA
About the family: Transfer RNA (tRNA) molecules are approximately 80 nucleotides in length. Their secondary structure includes four short double-helical elements and three loops (D, anti-codon, and T loops).
Source: Rfam by way of RNAcentral
GCCUGGCUGGCUCAGUCGGUAGAGCAUGAGACUCUUGAUCCCAGGGUUGUAAGUUUGAGCCUCAUGUUGGGUG